CGUUUGAGAUUUGAGAGGGGCUGACCUUAGUACGAGAGGACCGGGUUGGACGAACCUCUGGUGUUCCGGUUGUCACGCCAGUGGCAUCGCCGGGUAGCUACGUUCGGAAAAGAUAACCGCUGAAAGCAUCUAAGCGGGAAACUUGCCUCAAGAUGAGAUCUCACUGGAGCCUUGAGCUCCCUAAAGGGCCGUCGAAGACUACGACGUUGAUAGGUGGGGUGUGUAAGCGCUGUGAGGCGUUGAGCUAACCCAUACUAAUUGCCCGUGAGGCUUGACCAUAUAACACCCAAACA
RNAcentral lists this ribosomal RNA (293 nucleotides) under Salmonella enterica subsp. enterica. RNAcentral describes it as "partial 23S ribosomal RNA". It matches the Rfam family "Bacterial large subunit ribosomal RNA", at positions 2652 to 2925 of the family's 2925-position model. The record is from RNAcentral. Lineage: Bacteria; Pseudomonadati; Pseudomonadota; Gammaproteobacteria; Enterobacterales; Enterobacteriaceae.